This 3771-nucleotide unclassified non-coding RNA is filed under the name Cimex lectularius (bed bug). RNAcentral's name for it is "5-oxoprolinase, transcript variant X1". The record is from RNAcentral. Lineage: Eukaryota; Metazoa; Arthropoda; Insecta; Hemiptera; Cimicidae.
ACGGGUUGGGGCCGGAAUCACGUUUGCAGAACAAAUUUCAAAGAUAAGAUAAAAAGGAUAUCAGAGGCUGUUAUCAAUUUUCUUAUUCUUCAAUUUAACACGAUUCGACUUGGAAAUGAACGGAAAAUUCAGGUUUGCGAUCGACAGGGGAGGCACCUUUACGGAUGUGUAUGCCCAGUGUCCGAACGGAGAUGUCAAGACUCUCAAGCUGCUCUCAGUCGACCCGGCCAACUAUGAGGAUGCACCUCGUGAAGGCAUCAGGCGCAUCAUUGAAGAGAUAACUGGGAAAAAUAUUUCAAAGAGUGAAAAAAUAAGCUGUGACAAUAUAGAAUGGAUACGAAUGGGCACAACGGUAGCUACCAACGCUCUGUUGGAAAGAAAAGGCGAAAAGAUGGCACUUGUUAUUACCAAAGGAUUUCGAGACUUGCUCUACAUUGGGAAUCAGGCACGACCUAAAAUAUUUGACUUGAAAAUCCUUAUGCCUGAAGUUUUAUAUGAAGAAGUGGUAGAGGUCAACUGUAGGAUUGUACCAGAAAUGAAGGAAAGAUGUUUGCUACCUGAUGCAAAAGCAUGGGACCUUGUAAAAAGUGUAUCAGGUGAAAGAUAUUUAAUUAAACAGCACCUCAAUGAGACAGAGGUGACAACGGAUUUAAAAAAGUUGCUUGACAAAGGGAUCAAAAGCAUCGCAGUUGUAUUAAUGCAUUCAUACAUGUGGCAUGAUCAUGAACUACAAAUUGGAAAAAUAGCAGAGAAUUUGGGCUUUACAAAUAUAUCAUUGUCGCAUCAAGUCAUGCCUAUGGUUAAAAUAGUUAACAGAGGUUAUACAGCUUGUGCUGAUGCUUAUUUGACACCUCAUAUUAAGAAAUAUGUAAAGAGUUUUGCUUCUGGCUUUAAAGAUGAUCUAAAAAAUGUAAAUGUACUUUUUAUGCAAAGUGAUGGUGGAUUAACACCGAUGACAUUGUUCAAUGGAUCUAGGGCAGUUUUGUCGGGUCCUGCCGGUGGCGUAGUUGGUUAUGCUCAAACCACACCGGGAUCAAAACCAAUAAUUGGUUUUGAUAUGGGCGGUACUUCGACUGAUGUGAGUCGUUUUGCAGGAGAAUACGAACACAUUUUUGAGUCUACUGUUGCUGGAGUUACACUUCAGGCCCCUCAGCUGGAUAUAAACACCGUGGCCGCUGGGGGUGGUUCUAGGCUUUUCUUUCGCUCUGGUCUUUUUGUAGUGGGUCCUGAAAGUGCUGGUGCUCACCCUGGGCCUGUCUGUUAUAGAAAAGGAGGAUAUCUGACAGUCACGGAUGCAAAUCUAGUUCUGGGGCGUUUGCUGCCGGAAUAUUUUCCAAAAAUAUUUGGACCUGAUGAAAAGGAACCAAUUGAUAAAGAAGCUGCCUUAGAACAAUUUGAACAAUUAAAAGAAGAGAUUAAUUCUUUCUUGUCUUCCGAAGGGGAAAAGAAUAAAUUAUCAGUUGAAGAAGUGGCUAUGGGAUUUAUUAAAGUUGCUAAUGAAAGCAUGUGUCGACCCAUAAGAGCUUUAACUCAGGUAGGAAAAGGCUUUGACACGAGAGAUCAUGUGUUGACUUGUUUCGGAGGCGCAGGAGGUCAACACGCGUGUGCAAUUGCAAGGGAUCUUGGGAUAACAGAAGUUUUUAUGCACAAGUAUGCCGGUAUACUUUCCGCUUAUGGUAUCGCAUACGCUGAUGUUGUUCAUGAAGAGCAAAAACCUUCGACGUACAUCUUAAAAAAAAAUAGCUAUCCAGCGAUUGUUGAACAACUUAAGAAACUGGAGAACCAGUGUGUUAAAGAGCUUAAAGUUCAGGGAUUUUUGCCUGAUAACAUUCAGUGCCAACAUUUUUUGAAUUUGCGUUACGAAGGUACUGACGGGAGUCUGAUGUGCUCAUCCAAAAACAAUAACUGGUCCGACAACAUGGAAAGUUUUGAAACUACAUUCUUAACAAGGUAUAAAGCAGAAUUUGGCUUCGUCAUCCCUGAUAGAAACAUUCUUGUUGAUGACAUACGAGUCAGAGGUGUGGGCUUAUCUAAGCCCAGAAAAGAAAGCGUUAUGAAACCUUCUAAAGGAAAAUGUAUCCCUGAAAAUGUUGUAAAGGUGUAUUUUGAAACGUUCGGUUAUUUGAACACAGAUGUAUUUACUUUACAAUUUCUAAUUUAUGGCCAUAAAAUUAAAGGGCCUGCGUUGAUUAUGGACGAGUUGAGCACCAUUUUGAUUGAACCGCAUUGUGAAGCUACAAUCACAGAGACGGGUGAUAUAAUCGUCAAAAUAGAAAAACUCGGAAAAAAAAAAGUAGGCCAAGAGCUCAAUGCAAUUCAGCUGAGCAUUUUUUCACAUAGAUUUAUGAGCAUUGCCGAACAGAUGGGAAGGGUUUUGCAGAGAACAGCAAUAUCUACUAACAUCAAAGAAAGACUGGACUUUUCCUGUGCUUUAUUUGGACCUGACGGUGGAUUGGUUUCCAAUGCUCCACACAUACCAGUUCAUUUGGGAUCAAUGCAAGACACUGUUCAAUUUCAGUUAAAACUACUCGGUAAUUCUUUAAAAGAGGGAGAUGUAAUUUUAUCAAACCACCCAAAGGCAGGAGGAUCUCACUUGCCUGAUCUUACAGUUAUAACACCUGUGUUUUACAAGAAUGUUAAAAGACCUGUUUUCUUUGUCGCCUGUCGAGGCCAUCAUGCCGAUAUUGGUGGUAUCACUCCUGGUUCGAUGCCACCUCACUCGAAACACAUUUUAGAAGAAGGCGCUUCUUUCAAGAGUUUUUUUCUUGUUCGUGAUGGCCACUUCCAUGUAAAAGAGCUCGAGGAAGAGCUUAUGAAGCCGGCCAAAAGGCCAGGCUCAUCAGGAACACGGAAUCUCCAUGAUAACAUUGCAGACCUCCAAGCGCAAAUUGCAGCUAAUCAGAAGGGAAUUAUUUUAGUCAAUGAAUUAAUCAAUGCUUAUGGGUUAGACGUUGUACUAUCUUAUAUGGAUUACAUACAACAAAACGCCGAAUUAGCAGUGCAAGACUUGUUAAAAACAGUUGGCAAAAGACAACUUGAACAACAUGGUACGACAAAACUAUUUUCAGAAGAUUUCCUCGAUGAUGGUUCGCGAAUUUGUUUAACCGUCAAUAUUGACAUUAAUAAAGGAACAGCUGUAUUUGACUUUACGGGCUCUGGUUAUGAAGUUUGGGGAAACUGUAAUGCACCAAAGGCAAUAUCUAGUUCAGCACUUAUCUAUUGCUUGCGUUCUAUGGUUGGACAUGAUGUACCUCUAAAUCAGACGAUGCAGCAGUCGUUGGAGGGAACGUUCAAACUUCGCAGAGAAUAGUUGAUGUCAUUUUGAACGCUUUUAAGGCUUGCGCUGCAUCCCAGGGUUGCAUGAAUAACGUGACUUUUGGACAGAAAUCUUGGGGCUAUUAUGAAACAAUAGCAGGCGGAGCAGGAGCUGGGCCUUCGUGGAACGGGCGGAGCGGUGUACACACUCACAUGACAAACACUCGAAUCACGGACCCUGAGAUUUUGGAAAACCGUUAUCCGAUUAUUUUGGAAGCGUUUAAUCUGAGAGAAAACUCUGGUGGCAAUGGAGCUUUCAGAGGCGGAGAUGGAGUCAAUAGAAUACUACUUUUUAGAAAUCAUAUUUCAUUAUCUAUACUUACAGAAAGGCGUGUUUUUCAUCCCUAUGGCUUGGAAGGUGGAUCUCCAGGAGCAAAAGGUGUUAAUCUCAUGCACAGACGAGAUGGAAGAAUUAUAUAUCUGCAGUCAAAAACUGCUAUAGAUGUCGAACCAGGG